This 301-nucleotide ribosomal RNA is filed under the name uncultured bacterium. Its description in RNAcentral is "partial 16S ribosomal RNA". It matches the Rfam family "Bacterial small subunit ribosomal RNA", at positions 509 to 807 of the family's 1533-position model. The record is from RNAcentral.
CAGUCGCCGCGGUAAUACGAAGGGUGCAAGCGUUACUCGGAAUUACUGGGCGUAAAGCGUGUGUAGGUGGUUGUUUAAGUCUGUCGUGAAAUCCCCGGGCUCAACCUGGGAAUGGCAGUGGAUACUGGCUCGCUAGAGUGUGUCAGAGGAUGGUGGAAUUCCCGGUGUAGCGGUGAAAUGCGUUGAGAUCGGAAGGAACGCCCGUGGCGAAAGCGAGGUCCUGGACGUCUGCUGACGCUGAGACGCGAAAGCCAGGGGAGCGAACGGGAUUAGAUACCCCGGUAGUCCCUGUCUCUUAUAC